This 419-nucleotide ribosomal RNA is filed under the name bacterium. RNAcentral's name for it is "partial 16S ribosomal RNA". It matches the Rfam family "Bacterial small subunit ribosomal RNA", at positions 355 to 776 of the family's 1533-position model. The record is from RNAcentral.
UGGGGGAUAUUGCACAAUGGGCGAAAGCCUGAUGCAGCGACGCCGCGUGGGGGAUGAAGGCCUUCGGGUUGUAAACUUCUUUUGCUCUGAACAAGGCAUGCUAAUGGGUGUGUUGAGUGUAGGGGUUGAUUAGCGCCGGCUAACUACGUGCCAGCAGCCGCGGUAAUACGUAGGGCGCGGGCGUUGUCCGGAAUUAUUGGGCGUAAAGGGCUUGUAGGUGGCUGGUUGCGUCUGUCGUGAAAGCUCAUGGCUUAACUGUGGGUUUGCGGUGGGUACGGGCUGGCUUGAGUGCAGUAGGGGAGGCUGGAAUUCCUGGUGUAGCGGUGGAAUGCGCAGAUAUCAGGAGGAAUACCGGUGGCGAAGGCGGGUCUCUGGGCUGUUACUGACACUGAGGAGCGAAAGCAUGGGGAGCGAACAGG